Nicotiana attenuata is the source of this 798-nucleotide long non-coding RNA. RefSeq lists it as uncharacterized. The record is from RefSeq and is a predicted model, not a curated record. NCBI's taxonomy places the organism in Eukaryota, Viridiplantae, Streptophyta, Magnoliopsida, Solanales, Solanaceae. The transcript has 3 exons.
UCAAUUUUUUAAAUCUCCUGGCUACUGAUUGUUGAAAAAUGUAGGUGCCAAAAUAAUUCAGCUUUUCUAAAAGUGUGUGUUGAAGAGGAGCACAGCGAUGCCUGGUUUGAUCCGGUCAAGAAGUUUCCAGUGCAUUAAGUAAUAAUAUCCAUGACAAAAAUGAAUGCAAAAGAAGUAAAGCAAGGGACAGAAAAGUUCAAUUACCCCGUAUGCUCGGGUAUUCAAAGGCCAAAAAAUGACGAGGAUAUCGCUUUUAUGAGUGAUAGUAAGGCAGCAGGUAGGAGAUCCGCCAAUCACUGUAGGAUACUAAGUCAGCAGGACCAAUGUAGCAUCCUCAUUCCCGGAAAUCGCAUCAAUUUUUGGUAUAUGUAACAUAAGUAAUAACUCAACUCAUGAUUGAUAAAGAAAAUAUGAAGUUGCAUAGGUAGAGUCAUUUCACCAUAUAACAUAUAAAACGCAGAACAUUGAAGCGACAUAAGUACAAAAUAUAUAAGUGCACAGCUAGACGCAUUGCAGUAAAACCAAUUAGGGAUUCUUUUCUUUCUUUAUGACCCUGCGAACCUUGUUGCUAGAGAGUUGAGAAUUGAAGUCAUCAUCUGGUCCUGCUGCUGAUGCCUUAUUAGCGGAUCUAGUCUUCUUGUCAUACUUCUUCAGAGGACAUAUUUUUAUAUUGCAAGCAUCACCAUCUUCUAACACCGACGAUCCACUUUCUGAUACGCUUUUAUCGAUGGGAGUUUGCAAAAUAGACUGCUGACUUUCGGCCAUUACAUCCUUCCAACAGCCAAAAAAUUUAAUACC